Limanda limanda (common dab) is the source of this 417-nucleotide long non-coding RNA. RefSeq lists it as uncharacterized. The transcript has 3 exons. Lineage: Eukaryota; Metazoa; Chordata; Actinopteri; Pleuronectiformes; Pleuronectidae. The record is from RefSeq and is a predicted model, not a curated record.
ACACAGAUUAUUUUUCUGCAGAAACAGAUUUACUGUGAUCAACUGAAACAAGUGGAAUCCAACCAGACUGAACACUGAGUCAUCACUUCAACACUGACUCCAGGUACGGACGAGCCUGAAGGACACAGCUGUGCUGACCGUGUUCUGUCUCUUAUGGCAAAGAAGAAAAAUAAAACACUGGGUUUUUAAUCUAAAGUGUAUCAAAUCAGAAAGCAAAAGAUAAACAUGGUUCUAAGUAGUGUUCAUUUGAAUAUAUAAUAUAUAAUGAAUAUAGAAAUUAACUCUAUUAUCCAUGACACUUAGCAAUGACUCUAAACAGUUGCAGGCCGUCUUUAUUUAGGGAGGAAAACACAAAGUGUUGUGCAGAUGAAGCUGGUGCAUGUCGCCUCAUGUUGAUAAUAAUAAAUUAAUAAAUUA